GAUGAACGCUGGCGGCGUGCCUAAUACAUGCAAGUCGAGCGAACAGAUAAGGAGCUUGCUCCUUUGACGUUAGCGGCGGACGGGUGAGUAACACGUGGGUAACCUACCUAUAAGACUGGAAUAACUCCGGGAAACCGGGGCUAAUGCCGGAUAACAUUUAGAACCGCAUGGUUCUAAAGUGAAAGAUGGUUUUGCUAUCACUUAUAGAUGGACCCGCGCCGUAUUAGCUAGUUGGUAAGGUAACGGCUUAUCAAGGCAACGAUACGUAGCCGACCUGAGAGGGUGAUCGGCCACACUGGAACUGAGACACGGUCCAGACUCCUACGGGAGGCAGCAGUAGGGAAUCUGCCGCAAUGGGCGAAAGCCUGACGGAGCAACGCCGCGUGAGUGAUGAAGGUCUUCGGAUCGUAAAACUCUGUUAUUAGGGAAGAACAAAUGUGUAAGUAACUGUGCACGUCUUGACGGUACCUAAUCAGAAAGCCACGGCUAACUACGUG
RNAcentral lists this ribosomal RNA (497 nucleotides) under uncultured bacterium. RNAcentral's name for it is "partial 16S ribosomal RNA". It matches the Rfam family "Bacterial small subunit ribosomal RNA", at positions 28 to 507 of the family's 1533-position model. The record is from RNAcentral.